This 514-nucleotide ribosomal RNA is filed under the name uncultured bacterium. Its description in RNAcentral is "partial 16S ribosomal RNA". It matches the Rfam family "Bacterial small subunit ribosomal RNA", at positions 355 to 861 of the family's 1533-position model. The record is from RNAcentral.
UGGGGAAUUUUGGACAAUGGGCGAAAGCCUGAUCCAGCAAUGCCGCGUGUGUGAAGAAGGCCUUCGGGUUGUAAAGCACUUUUGUCCGGAAAGAAAUCCUUGGCUCUAAUACAGUCGGGGGAUGACGGUACCGGAAGAAUAAGCACCGGCUAACUACGUGCCAGCAGCCGCGGUAAUACGUAGGGUGCAAGCGUUAAUCGGAAUUACUGGGCGUAAAGCGUGCGCAGGCGGUUUGCUAAGACCGAUGUGAAAUCCCCGGGCUCAACCUGGGAACUGCAUUGGUGACUGGCAGGCUAGAGUAUGGCAGAGGGGGGUAGAAUUCCACGUGUAGCAGUGAAAUGCGUAGAGAUGUGGAGGAAUACCGAUGGCGAAGGCAGCCCCCUGGGCCAAGUACUGACGCUCAUGCACGAAAGGCGUGGGGAGCAAACNGGAUUAAUNCCCUGGUAGUCCACGCCCUAAANGAUGUCAACUAGUUGUUGGGGAUUCAUUUCCUUAGUAACGUAGCUAACGCGUG